CUGUCAAAUAACCCAUCAUAUCUAUUACAGGAAAAUGCAAUGGAAGAAUUUAUUUUCUGCUGCUAAAUUUCACUCUUGCACUUCUGGGAGGGAUUAACAUUUUUUAUGCUGGAUUAAGGUGUUCCAUACCUUAGAGAAGAAAUGCAAGGGCCACAUUUUUGGGAAAUGCACUCCCCUGUGCCAGUUCACUUGUAGUUAAAGUGCAAAUGGGCAUUUUGGUGACUUAAACCCACCAGAAAACUCAGCAGGAAUGUGGGAUUGCAAGGAGAGUUUUACAGCAAGGACAUAAAAGAGGAUGCUCUUGUCUCACUCGUCUUCCUCUGUGAGCAGGCUGGCCCUGCUCCUGCUUCCAGCUGGCCUCCAACUUCCUUAGGAAUGGCUGAGGUUGGAAUCUCUGCAUGUCCAAAACUGAACUGGAUGGCUGUGCAAAAUUGCUGUACGUCCUCUUGUUUCAGGCUGGCCUUUCCUGGGGACUUCUCAGUGCUUCAAAAGGUGAGAGAAGAUCUGAGUGGAAACAACUUCAAGGGGUUGAAAUGCUUUUCUGGGACAUUGAAGAAAGGAAGAGAAUGGUUCUGCCAACAACGUGGACCCUUGCAAAGCUGCUCCUGAGAGCAUGGAUUGCACUGAUGAACCUGACUUGGAGCCAGGCAGCUCUGUCUGAUCACAGGAGAGUGGAGCUCACUGUGGCACGGGAAACUAGGCUGUGCAUCAGACACUCCUUGUUCCCAGAACGGAGCAGUGGCCCCUCUUUCCAAUAGAAAAGCCGCCCUUUUCUCCUUUAACCUCUCUGUCAUGAAGAUUAAAACCAGUUUUGAUGGACCAAAUCUGUUGGGAGGC
Molecule: long non-coding RNA, 837 nt
Filed under: Parus major (Great Tit)
Lineage: Eukaryota; Metazoa; Chordata; Aves; Passeriformes; Paridae
Description: lncRNA (ENSPMJG00000003172.1)
Source: RNAcentral